RNAcentral lists this non-coding RNA (224 nucleotides) under Geobacillus sp. RNAcentral describes it as "T-box sequence". It matches the Rfam family "T-box leader". From Rfam's summary of the family: Uncharged tRNA acts as the effector for transcription antitermination of genes in the T-box leader family. T-boxes are found upstream of many aminoacyl-tRNA synthetase genes and some amino acid biosynthetic genes usually in Gram-positive bacteria. The anticodon of a specific tRNA base pairs to a specifier sequence within the T-box motif, and the NCCA acceptor tail of the tRNA base pairs to a conserved bulge in the T-box antiterminator hairpin. Lineage: Bacteria; Bacillati; Bacillota; Bacilli; Caryophanales; Anoxybacillaceae. The record is from RNAcentral.
CGAACAGCGGUGAAGAGGAGCAGUAGCGGGCUUGGCGGACAGCAGAGAGUUGACGGUCGGUGCGAGUCAACCGAAGCCAGCCUGUGAACUCGCCUCGGAGUUGCCGGCGCGAACGGCGCUGCCUACUAACGUCGGCCGUGAAUCUGCGUUAAGGAGCAAAGCGGGUGCGCCAUGGGCGCGCCAAAAAGGGUGGUACCGCGGGAAGCGCGCCUCUCGUCCCUUUG